CAAUAGCGUAUAUUAAAGUUGUUGCAGUUAAAAAGCUCGUAGUUGGAUCCCAGGUCCGGGCCUGCGGUCCGCCUCGCGGCGGUCACUGCUUGAUCCCGACCCAACCGCCGGUCUUCCCUUGGUGCUCUUCGCUGAGUGUCUCGGGUAACCGGAACGUUUACUUUGAAAAAAUUAGAGUGUUCAAAGCAGGCUACGCGCCUGAAUGAUGUUGCAUGGAAUAAUGGAAGAGGACCUCGGUUCUAUUGCGUUGGUUUUCGGAACGCGAGGUAAUGAUUAAGAGGGACAGACGGGGGCGGAUUCGUAUUGCGGUGGUUAGAGGUGGAAAUUACUUUGGUAUCGCCGCCAAGACGGACGGACUGCGAAAGACAUUUGUCCAACGAAAUAG
RNAcentral lists this ribosomal RNA (385 nucleotides) under uncultured eukaryote. RNAcentral's name for it is "bacterial SSU rRNA". It matches the Rfam family "Eukaryotic small subunit ribosomal RNA", at positions 592 to 968 of the family's 1831-position model. The record is from RNAcentral.